RNAcentral lists this ribosomal RNA (255 nucleotides) under Salmonella enterica subsp. enterica serovar Give. RNAcentral describes it as "partial 23S ribosomal RNA". It matches the Rfam family "Bacterial large subunit ribosomal RNA", at positions 161 to 454 of the family's 2925-position model. The record is from RNAcentral. Lineage: Bacteria; Pseudomonadati; Pseudomonadota; Gammaproteobacteria; Enterobacterales; Enterobacteriaceae.
AAUCCAUAGGUUAAUGAGGCGAACCGGGGGAACUGAAACAUCUAAGUACCCCGAGGAAAAGAAAUCAACCGAGAUUCCCCCAGUAGCGGCGAGCGAACGGGGAGGAGCCCAGAGCCUGAAUCAGCAUAUGUGUUAGUGGAAGCGUCUGGAAAGGCGCGCGAUACAGGGUGACAGCCCCGUACACAAAAGCGCAUGUGCUGUGAGCUCGAUGAGUAGGGCGGGACACGUGGUAUCCUGUCUGAAUAUGGGGGGACC